GGGGCCAUAGCUCAGUUGGGAGAGCGCAUGACUGGCAGUCAUGAGGUCAGGGGUUCGACCCCCCUUGGCUCCA
RNAcentral lists this transfer RNA (73 nucleotides) under bacterium. Its description in RNAcentral is "tRNA-Ala". It matches the Rfam family "tRNA". Rfam says of the family: Transfer RNA (tRNA) molecules are approximately 80 nucleotides in length. RNAcentral also lists the same sequence under 2 other names. The record is from RNAcentral.